CUUAAAAGAAAUCUGCUCUCUUUCUCUCUGCCUGUCUUUCAGAGUUAUUUACACAAACACACAACCUCAAUAAGGAAUAAGUGAGAAAAUCGUCACAAAGGGUAGACUUAUGGUGUGUAACUAAUCUGUAUUGAAGCUUUCUAGUAGCUAAAGUGAUGAUCAGAACACAAUUUGUUACACAAUUCUGUACCUAAAGAAGAAAAAUAAACCAGUAGUUCCAGGAAGGCAUAGCUGAUGCUGGCACCAAAGAACUAUUUCUUCCAUGGGUCCUUCUAAAGAGGGCACAAUAUGAGAAAAUGAACAACAUCCUGAAAAAUAUCUACACGGCAAAUACAAUACGGUUUCAUAAGUCCACAGAUGAAUAAGACUAAAGCUAAGUGCAACACUUUUACCAAGGCAUGAUGCAGAUCACUUGUAUGAAGACUUAAUCAAUAGCUGCCAGUUACUGAGCUCCAUGGUUGCCUGGCUUAAUUUAGGACUAAAUUGGAAAGAGUAAACCUUCAGGCAGCUCUCAUUUAAUAAGCACAGAAAGCCAAGUUGCUGGAGAAAAUAUGCAGCAGUGUAAGCCUGAAACAUCUUACAGAAGAGUAUAGUUUUGGAAUGACCACUAUAUAUGACCUGAAGAACAGAAGAAUAAACUGUUGAAGUUCUGUGCUGAAAGUGAUGUAUGGAGACAUUUUGUACCAGUGGCUCAUGUUCACUGCAGGGAAGCCAGACUAGAUGACAACUGCAAGCUUUUAUUAUUACUGGACAACCAUUCUGUUCAUCCUUCAGCUGAAAUUCUCAUCAAAAUAAUGUUAAUGCCAUGUACUUUCACUCAAAUGUGAUUUCAUUAAUUCAGCCAUGUGACCAAGUUCUCUUAGAUCAAUGAAGUAAAUAUAAAAACACUUUCCUCAACGGUAGGCUAACAGCAGUGAACAGAGAAACAUGAGUGUGAAAGGUUUUCAAAAGGAGUUUGACGUGAAGGAUGCUUUAUAUGCUGUUGUCAAUGCCUGGAACACAGUGAUUAAAGACACAGUUGGACAUGCCUGGCACAAAUUCUGGCCUGGAACCAUAUUCAGUGAUGAUGACCAAGAUGGUAACUUUGAAGGAUUUCAUAUGUCAAGUGAGAAAAAAAAUGAUGUAUGACUUCCUUGCAUACGCAAAAAAAUAUACCUUCAGAUUUCAUCGGUAAACUGGGAGAAGCAAAUAUUGAGGAAGUGUUUCAUAUCAACAAUGAAGCUACAGUUGUUCAUUGACCAAUGGUGAAAGAGCUGAAAUGAUUCUGAAUCAAGGAGAUCGUGGUAAAUAGUGAUGAUAAAGUCUACAUUGUCAUCAGAAAAAGUGCCUGUAGAUGACAUGGUGAAAAUGUGUGAUGGGGCUUUUGAAGGACUAGGGCAGAAUGCAUUCAUAACAAAACAAGAAAUCGUGUCAGUGUAUAAAAUCUAAGAAAAGACUUCUAAGAUAAAGCCUUGUUAAUGAGGCAGAUGACUUUGGAGGAAAUAGUUUAAAAAAACCAUUCACUGGAAUGCCUUCUCAUCCCUAGGUAUUUAUUUCCUGAUCCCUCAACUGUUUCUGAUGUUUUUUUCUCACCUGAAAAAAUAAAAUACAAUGUACAAUAACCUUUUAUUCAAAACACACCAUCAUAGGUGGAGACUGAAAGCCUGUCAUUGUUGUUAGCAUUGUUUAACAGCUCAUACAGGUAUUUUGGUGAUGCUACUAGGCUGCUUAGUUACCCUGAACACAUUAUUUUUUCACUGUAUUAAUGGCAUGUCUUACUUUUUGCUGUUAAGUACUUAUGUGUGAAAAAGUAUGAAAAAUGAUCGCUUAUUGGUAGCAUAUCAAUUGAGAGUCAGCCAUGAUGGUGAUGUGAGAUAGUGACACUAUGAUUUCCGCUGG
This 1878-nucleotide long non-coding RNA is filed under the name Homo sapiens (human). RNAcentral describes it as "HSALNT0350968". The record is from RNAcentral. Lineage: Eukaryota; Metazoa; Chordata; Mammalia; Primates; Hominidae.